CAGUUCGGAUUGGAGUCUGCAACCCGACUCCAUGAAGCUGGAUUCGCUAGUAAUCGCGCAUCAGCCACGGCGCGGUGAAUACGUUCCCGGGCCUUGUACACACCGCCCGUCAAGCCAUGGGAGUCGGUAACACCCGAAGUCGGUAGCCUAACCGUAAGGAGGGCGCCGCCGAAGGUGGGAUUGAUGACUGGGGGUGAAGUCGUAACAAGGUAGC
This 214-nucleotide ribosomal RNA is filed under the name uncultured bacterium. Its description in RNAcentral is "partial 16S ribosomal RNA". It matches the Rfam family "Bacterial small subunit ribosomal RNA", at positions 1289 to 1500 of the family's 1533-position model. The record is from RNAcentral.